CCUACGGGCGGCUGCAGUGAGGAAUAUUGGUCAAUGGGCGAGAGCCUGAACCAGCCAAGUAGCGUGAAGGAUGACUGCCCUAUGGGUUGUAAACUUCUUUUAUAAAGGAAUAAAGUCGGGUAUGGAUACCCGUUUGCAUGUACUUUAUGAAUAAGGAUCGGCUAACUCCGUGCCAGCAGCCGCGGUAAUACGGAGGAUUCAAGCGUUAUCCGGAUUUAUUGGGUUUAAAGGGUGCGUAGGCGGUUUGAUAAGUUAGAGGUGAAAUUUCGGGGCUCAACCCUGAACGUGCCUCUAAUACUGUUGAGCUAGAGAGUAGUUGCGGUAGGCGGAAUGUAUGGUGUAGCGGUGAAAUGCUUAGAGAUCAUACAGAACACCGAUUGCGAAGGCAGCUUACCAAACUAUAUCUGACGUUGAGGCACGAAAGCGUGGGGAGCAAACAGGAUUAGAUACCCUUGUAGUC
RNAcentral lists this ribosomal RNA (460 nucleotides) under Chryseobacterium phosphatilyticum. RNAcentral describes it as "bacterial SSU rRNA". It matches the Rfam family "Bacterial small subunit ribosomal RNA", at positions 338 to 795 of the family's 1533-position model. Lineage: Bacteria; Pseudomonadati; Bacteroidota; Flavobacteriia; Flavobacteriales; Weeksellaceae. The record is from RNAcentral.